GUAAUAUAUCGGAACGUGCCCAGUCGUGGGGGAUAACGUAGCGAAAGCUACGCUAAUACCGCAUACGAUCUACGGAUGAAAGCGGGGGACUCGUAAGAGCCUCGCGCGAUUGGAGCGGCCGAUAUCAGAUUAGGUUGUUGGUGAGGUAAAAGCUCACCAAGCCUGCGAUCUGUAGCUGGUCUGAGAGGACGACCAGCCACACUGGAACUGAGACACGGUCCAGACUCCUACGGGAGGCAGCAGUGGGGAAUUUUGGACAAUGGACGAAAGUCUGAUCCAGCAAUGCCGCGUGCAGGACGAAGGCCUUCGGGUUGUAAACUGCUUUUGUACGGAACGAAACGGUCUUCUUUAAUACAGAGGGCUAAUGACGGUACCGUAAGAAUAAGCACCGGCUAACUACCUCCCACUAACCGCGGU
Molecule: ribosomal RNA, 417 nt
Filed under: uncultured bacterium
Lineage: Bacteria
Description: bacterial SSU rRNA
Rfam family: Bacterial small subunit ribosomal RNA
Source: RNAcentral